Molecule: small nucleolar RNA, 128 nt
Filed under: Octodon degus (degu)
Lineage: Eukaryota; Metazoa; Chordata; Mammalia; Rodentia; Octodontidae
Description: Small nucleolar RNA SNORA11 (ENSODEG00000021475.1)
Rfam family: Small nucleolar RNA SNORA11
About the family: U107 (SNORA11) is a member of the H/ACA class of snoRNAs that guide the sites of modification of uridines to pseudouridines. This snoRNA was identified by RT-PCR from blood cells and its expression confirmed by Northern blot analysis.
Source: Rfam by way of RNAcentral
GGGGUGUGCUCAGGGCAGGUGGCCUGAAGAAUGGCUUCUCUGUUUACAACACACCCAGCAGGAAUUUAGGGUCACUGUGACAAGGGAUGCGAAACUGGUGACUUCCCUGGAGCAAAUGCACACCAUAC